UGUGUCCGGGGAGGGAAGGGGUCUGGUCCUUGAAUUCAGGAAAGCGAGGGUGCCUUUUCAGCCGAGCGAUGGUGUGGCUUGGCUGUGGAAAAUAAACAGCAGACCUGAAGAAUCAAUUCUCUGUGGCUGUCAGAGGACUGUCAAACUCCACUCCAUGAUGGACAGUCUGGAUGUUCACAGUCUAUUUGCCUCUAGGCUGUGGAGCGGCGAGUAAGUGAACCGUGCGGGACAGAGCACAGACAAUAUGAAGAGGGAGUGCAGAGCAAUAUUUGCUGUUGCCGUGCUAGAUCAGCAUAAACGUCAAGGCCGGUCUCCUGUGGCCCGAGGAGAGUCCUGGAGGAGCUCCAGGCCUGGAUGUGGGUGUCUUGGUAUCUGAAGAGUUGAGUGUGUGCUUCUAUUUCUCAUGUGCAUAAGUGUGUGGGUGCAUGGACUGCCCAUCCGUGUGCUGGAGGCCUGCCCAGAAGCCUCCCAGGACAUUCUCUCAGAAUCUUUGCAGACUCUUGCAGCGUAAAGCAGCAGCCGUGAUGAUAAAGAGCCUGACACAAAUGAAACAUCACGGAUGAAAAGCUUUUGAUGAGCCCAUUAUGACUGUCAUUGCAAAAGUUAGAAAAAAUAGUAAAAAGAAAAGAACAAAUAUUUAUACAGUGUUUGUGAUAAUUCCCUUUUCCAGUGGGACAGUGCAUAAUGUUGAGGUUGUCUCUGCUAUAGUAAAAUAAACAAAAUCAUGUUUAGGCGUCCAUUGCUCUUUAGUCAUGGUUAAAAAAAUUUGUUCGUUUUUAAUGUUUUCCUGUUGUCCAGUAUGUUCUUGUCAUUUCCCAUAUAAUUUUAUUUUUUGUUCCGUCAGAUGUUUUUUUAUUUUAGCUAUAAAUGUUAUGUUUGUUCUUUGUUGCUCGUUUUAGUUUUCUGUUUGGGAUUUGGUUUUUGUGUUUACUUUUAUUGUUUAUAUAGGUAUCUCCCCAGUUUUAGCGGGUUACCACAAAUAAAACUUUGAUUGAUCAAUUUACAGUAAUCACUUUGGGGAGUGGUAAUCUAGUGGUUAGGGCAGUGCGCUUGGGUCCCAGAAGUUCUUAUUUCAAGCCCCACUCCCACAGACUGCCACUCCUUGCUCUCUGAGCAAAACCUUCAACCCCACACUGCUGCCCGGGUGCCGCAAAAUAGCAGCCCACUGCUCCCCAAGGGGAUGGGUUAAAUGCAGAGAGUUAAUUGUUUUUCUUUGUACUUGUGACACUGUAAUGACAAUAAAGCUCAAUUCUAUUCUAUUUUAACUUAUUUUUGAGUAAAUUGGCAAAGUACAAGGCACUAAAG
Cyprinodon tularosa is the source of this 1305-nucleotide long non-coding RNA. RefSeq lists it as uncharacterized. The record is from RefSeq and is a predicted model, not a curated record. NCBI's taxonomy places the organism in Eukaryota, Metazoa, Chordata, Actinopteri, Cyprinodontiformes, Cyprinodontidae. The transcript has 3 exons.